Molecule: ribosomal RNA, 992 nt
Filed under: Babesia sp. NJ5
Lineage: Eukaryota; Apicomplexa; Aconoidasida; Piroplasmida; Babesiidae
Description: bacterial SSU rRNA
Rfam family: Eukaryotic small subunit ribosomal RNA
Source: RNAcentral
CGUCCAUUUCUUGUAUUGGAUGAUGGUGACCUAAACCCUCACCAGAGUAACAAUUGGAGGGCAAGUCUGGUGCCAGCAGCCGCGGUAAUUCCAGCUCCAAUAGCGUAUAUUAAACUUGUUGCAGUUAAAAAGCUCGUAGUUGAAUUUCUGCGUUAUCGUUUUCGUUGCUUUUGCUUCGUUUCGAUUUCGCUUUUGGGGUUUUCCCCUUUUUACUUUGAGAAAAUUAGAGUGUUUCAAGCAGACUUUUGUCUUGAAUACUUCAGCAUGGAAUAAUAGAGUAGGACUUUGGUUCUAUUUUGUUGGUUUACGAACCUUAGUAAUGGUUAAUAGGAACGGUUGGGGGCAUUCGUAUUUAACUGUCAGAGGUGAAAUUCUUAGAUUUGUUAAAGACGAACUACUGCGAAAGCAUUUGCCAAGGACGUUUUCAUUAAUCAAGAACGAAAGUUAGGGGAAUCGAAGAAGAAAGAUACCGUCGUAGUCCUAACCAUAGACUAUGCCCACUAGGGAUUGAAGGUCGUCAUUUUUCCGACCCCCUCAACACCUUGCGAGAAAUCAAAGUCUUUGGGUUCUGGGGGGAGUAAGGUCGCAAGGCUGAAACUUAAAUGGAAUUGACGGAAGGGCACCACCAGGCAUGGAGCCUGCCGCUUUAUUUUGACUCAACACAGGGGAAACUCACCAAGGUCCAGACAAUGUUAGGAUUGGACAGAUUGAUAGCUCUUUUCUUGAUUCUUUGGGUGGUGGUUGCAUGGGCCGUUCUUAGUGUGAUGGAGAGGAUUUUGUCUGGUUAAUUUCCGUUUACCGAAACGAGACCUUUAACCUGCCAAACUAGAGUCCGUGUAUUGGGUUUUUCCCUUUUCCGGUUUGCUUUCUUAAAAGGGACUUUGGCAGGCAUCCUAAGCUCCCCAAGGAAGAUUGAAAGCAAAUAACAGGUCCUGGUUGAAUGCUCCUUAUGAGAUGCCUCCUUGGGGUGCUUCGUCCCACAGUGACACCAU